UUCUGUAAGCCUGUGAAGGUGUGCUGUGAGGCAUGCUGGAGGUAUCAGAAGUGCGAAUGCUGACAUAAGUAACGAUAAAGCGGGUGAAAAGCCCGCUCGCCGGAAGACCAAGGGUUCCUGUCCAACGUUAAUCGGGGCAGGGUGAGUCGACCCCUAAGGCGAGGCCGAAAGGCGUAGUCGAUGGGAAACAGGUUAAUAUUCCUGUACUUGGUGUUACUGCGAAGGGGGGACGGAGAAGGCUAUGUUGGCCGGGCGACGGUUGUCCCGGUUUAAGCGUGUAGGCUGGUUUUCCAGGCAAAUCCGGAAAACUAAGGCUGAGGCGUGAUGACGAGGCACUACGGUGCUGAAGCAACAAAUGCCCUGCUUCCAGGAAAAGCCUCUAAGCAUCAGGUAACAUCAAAUCGUACCCCAAACCGACACAGGUGGUCAGGUAGAGAAUACCAAGGCGCUUGAGAGAACUCGGGUGAAGGAACUAGGCAAAAUGGUGCCGUAACUUCGGGAGAAGGCACGCUGAUAUGUAGGUGAAGUCCCUCGCGGAUGGAGCUGAAAUCAGUCGAAGAUACCAGCUGGCUGCAACUGUUUAUUAAAAACACAGCACUGUGCAAACACGAAAGUGGACGUAUACGGUGUGACGCCUGCCCGGUGCCGGAAGGUUAAUUGAUGGGGUCAGCGCAAGCGAAGCUCUUGAUCGAAGCCCCGGUAAACGGCGGCCGUAACUAUAACGGUCCUAAGGUAGCGAAAUUCCUUGUCGGGUAAGUUCCGACCUGCACGAAUGGCGUAAUGAUGGCCAGGCUGUCUCCACCCGAGACUCAGUGAAAUUGAACUCGCUGUGAAGAUGCAGUGUACCCGCGGCAAGACGGAAAGACCCCGUGAACCUUUACUAUAGCUUGACACUGAACAUUGAGCCUUGAUGUGUAGGAUAGGUGGGAGGCUUUGAAGUGUGGACGCCAGUCUGCAUGGAGCCGACCUUGAAAUACCACCCUUUAAUGUUUGAUGUUCUAACGUUGACCCGUAAUCCGGGUUGCGGACAGUGUCUGGUGGGUAGUUUGACUGGGGCGGUCUCCUCCUAAAGAGUAACGGAGGAGCACGAAGGUUGGCUAAUCCUGGUCGGACAUCAGGAGGUUAGUGCAAUGGCAUAAGCCAGCUUGACUGCGAGCGUGACGGCGCGAGCAGGUGCGAAAGCAGGUCAUAGUGAUCCGGUGGUUCUGAAUGGAAGGGCCAUCGCUCAACGGAUAAAAGGUACUCCGGGGAUAACAGGCUGAUACCGCCCAAGAGUUCAUAUCGACGGCGGUGUUUGGCACCUCGAUGUCGGCUCAUCACAUCCUGGGGCUGAAGUAGGUCCCAAGGGUAUGGCUGUUCGCCAUUUAAAGUGGUACGCGAGCUGGGUUUAGAACGUCGUGAGACAGUUCGGUCCCUAUCUGCCGUGGGCGCUGGAGAACUGAGGGGGGCUGCUCCUAGUACGAGAGGACCGGAGUGGACGCAUCACUGGUGUUCGGGUUGUCAUGCCAAUGGCACUGCCCGGUAGCUAAAUGCGGAAGAGAUAAGUGCUGAAAGCAUCUAAGCACGAAACUUGCCCCGAGAUGAGUUCUCCCUGACUCCUUGAGAGUCCUGAAGGAACGUUGAAG
RNAcentral lists this ribosomal RNA (1625 nucleotides) under Escherichia coli. Its description in RNAcentral is "partial 23S ribosomal RNA". It matches the Rfam family "Bacterial large subunit ribosomal RNA", at positions 1239 to 2843 of the family's 2925-position model. The record is from RNAcentral. Lineage: Bacteria; Pseudomonadati; Pseudomonadota; Gammaproteobacteria; Enterobacterales; Enterobacteriaceae.